GAGGGUACAGCUCAGUGGUAAAGUGCAUGCCUAAUGUGCACGAGAUCCUGGGUCCAAUCCCCUGUACCUCCA
Molecule: transfer RNA, 72 nt
Organism: Camelus ferus (Wild Bactrian camel)
Lineage: Eukaryota; Metazoa; Chordata; Mammalia; Artiodactyla; Camelidae
Rfam family: tRNA
About the family: Transfer RNA (tRNA) molecules are approximately 80 nucleotides in length.
Source: Rfam